RNAcentral lists this ribosomal RNA (253 nucleotides) under uncultured bacterium. RNAcentral describes it as "partial 16S ribosomal RNA". It matches the Rfam family "Bacterial small subunit ribosomal RNA", at positions 524 to 776 of the family's 1533-position model. The record is from RNAcentral.
UACAGAGGUCUCAAGCGUUGUUCGGAUUCAUUGGGCGUAAAGGGUGCGUAGGCGGCGCGGUAAGUCGGGUGUGAAAUCUCGGAGCUUAACUCCGAAACUGCAUUCGAUACUGCCGUGCUUGAGGACUGGAGAGGAGACUGGAAUUUACGGUGUAGCGGUGAAAUGCGUAGAUAUCGUAAGGAAGACCAGAGGCGAAGGCGGGUCACUGGACAGGUAUUGACGCUGAGGAGCGAAAGUGUGGGGAGCGAACAGG